GUUUGUGUCUGUCGUGUGGAAGCUUUGUUCAUUCGUCUUUUGCAAUAAAUCUUGCUACUGCUCAGUCUUUGGGUCCACACUGCUUUUAUGAGCUGUAGCAGUCACCACGAAGGUCUGCAGCUGCACUCCUGAGGCUAGCGAGACCACGAACCCACCGGGAGGAGCGAACGACUCCAGACGCGCUGACUUAAGAGCUGUAACAGCUUACCGCUAAGGUCUGCAGCUUCACUCCUGAGCCAGAGAGACCAGGAACCCACCUAGAAGGAACAAACUCCGGACAUGCCGCCUUUAAGAGCUGUAACACUCACCGCCAGGGUCCGCAGCUGCAUUCUUGAAGUCAGUGAGACCAAGAACCCACCAAUUCCAGACACACUGUCAUCA
RNAcentral lists this long non-coding RNA (381 nucleotides) under Homo sapiens (human). RNAcentral's name for it is "LHRI_LNC2037.1". Lineage: Eukaryota; Metazoa; Chordata; Mammalia; Primates; Hominidae. The record is from RNAcentral.